GCCCCGUUCGUCUAGCGGCGCAGGACACCGCUCUUUCAAUGCGGUGGGACGGGUUCGACUCCCGUACGGGGUA
RNAcentral lists this transfer RNA (73 nucleotides) under Pyxidicoccus parkwayensis. RNAcentral describes it as "Pyxidicoccus sp. SCPEA002 tRNA-Glu". It matches the Rfam family "tRNA". Rfam says of the family: Transfer RNA (tRNA) molecules are approximately 80 nucleotides in length. Their secondary structure includes four short double-helical elements and three loops (D, anti-codon, and T loops). Further hydrogen bonds mediate the characteristic L-shaped molecular structure. tRNAs have two regions of fundamental functional importance: the anti-codon, which is responsible for specific mRNA codon recognition, and the 3' end, to which the tRNAs corresponding amino acid is attached (by aminoacyl-tRNA synthetases). tRNAs cope with the degeneracy of the genetic code in two manners: having more than one tRNA (with a specific anti-codon) for a particular amino acid; and 'wobble' base-pairing, i.e. permitting non-standard base-pairing at the 3rd anti-codon position. The record is from RNAcentral. Lineage: Bacteria; Pseudomonadati; Myxococcota; Myxococcia; Myxococcales; Myxococcaceae.